RNAcentral lists this ribosomal RNA (457 nucleotides) under uncultured bacterium. RNAcentral's name for it is "bacterial SSU rRNA". It matches the Rfam family "Bacterial small subunit ribosomal RNA", at positions 340 to 786 of the family's 1533-position model. The record is from RNAcentral.
UACGGAAGGCAGCGGUGGGGAAUAUUGCACAAUGGGCGAAAGCCUGAUGCAGCUAUGCCGCGUGUAUGAAGAAGGCCUUAGGGUUGUAAAGUACUUUCAUCGGGGAGGAAAAAACAAAACUAAUAAUUUUAUUUCUUGACGUUACCCGAAAAAGAAGCACCGGCUAACUCCGUGCCAGCAGCCGCGGUAAUACGGAGGGUGCUAGCGUUAAUCAGAAUUACUGGGCGUAAAGAGCACGUAGGUGGUUUUUUAAGUCAGAUGUGAAAUCCCUGGGCUUAACCUAGGAACUGCAUUUUGAAACUGAAAUACUAGAGUAUCGUAGAGGGAGGUAGAAUUCUAGGUGUAGCGGUGAAAUGCGUAGAUAUCUGGAGGAAUACCUGUGGCGAAAGCGGCCUCCUAAACGAAUACUGACACUGAGGUGCGAAAGCGUGGGGAGCGAAACAGGGAUUUAGAUACC